UAACGCGAAGAACCUUACCUGGCCUUGACAUCCACGGAAUUCGGCAGAGAUGCCUUAGUGCCUUCGGGAACCGUGAGACAGGUGCUGCAUGGCUGUCGUCAGCUCGUGUUGUGAAAUGUUGGGUUAAGUCCCGCAACGAGCGCAACCCUUAUCCUUUGUUGCCAGCACGUAAUGGUGGGAACUCAAAGGAGACUGCCGGUGAUAAACCGGAGGAAGGUGGGGAUGACGUCAAGUCAUCAUGGCCCUUACGGCCAGGGCUACACACGUGCUACAAUGGCGCAUACAAAGAGAAGCGACCUCGCGAGAGCAAGCGGACCUCAUAAAGUGCGUCGUAGUCCGGAUCGGAGUCUGCAACUCGACUCCGUGAAGUCGGAAUCGCUAGUAAUCGUAGAUCAGAAUGCUACGGUGAAUA
This 412-nucleotide ribosomal RNA is filed under the name uncultured bacterium. Its description in RNAcentral is "bacterial SSU rRNA". It matches the Rfam family "Bacterial small subunit ribosomal RNA", at positions 957 to 1368 of the family's 1533-position model. The record is from RNAcentral.